AUUGGCUUGUGGUUGAACUGUACUGCCGGCUCAUGCGUGACUUACGCUAAAACUUCAAUUUUGUUUGAAGUGUGUGAAGCCUUUGCUUUAAUAGGAGCUGUGAACGGCCUCUUGACGCUGAUUAUCGUUCUUGCCAAUUCCUGUGUGCCGUAUUUAAGAAGAAAAUCUUACACAAUAUUACCAGUAAUCUCCCUUGUUAUAAGUUCCUCCACUGUUCUGUGUGUGGUUAUCUCUGUGGCUGUGUGGGGAGCUGGCAUACACAAGAGUGAGGACAAUAUUGGUGCAUCAUUCAUCGUCACCGUAGUGGGGUCAGGCCUGCUGUUUGUUGGGGCCAUAUGUGUGUACCUCAGACCCAGAGACCCCAUCAGCGAGGGAUCAAAUACAGGCCAGAAUGUCAAAAUGUUGAAAGUGAAGAUUAAGAAAACAGAUGUGUAAACUUAACAUUAAACUUAAACAUUAAACCUAACAUUAAACCUUACAUUAAACCUUACAUUAAACCUAACAUUAAACCUAACAAUAAACCUAACAAUAAACCUAACAAUAAACCUAACAUUAAACCUAUCAUUAAACCUUACAUUAAACCUAACAUUAAACCUAACAAUAAACCUAACAUUAAAUCUAGCAUUAAACCUAACAUUAAACCUAACAAUAAACCUAACAUUAAAUCUAGCCUUAAACCUAACAUUAAACCUAUGAUUAAACCUAAAAUUAAAACUAACAUUAAAACUAACAUUAAACCUAACAUGAAACCUUACAUUAAACCUUACAUUAAACCUUACAUUAAACCUAACAUUAAAUCUAACAUUAAACCUAACAUUAAACCUUACAUUAAACAACAUGAAACCUAACAUUAAACCUAACAUUAAACCUUACAUUAAACCUAACAUGAAACCUAACAUUAAACCUAACAUUAAACCUAACAUUAAACCUUACAUAAAACUUAUCAUUAAACCUAACAUUAAACCAAAAUAGAGUGGUGUACAUUGUCUAGUUAACAAACCAUAACUAGAUUGCUUUUUAAAUUGGUAUUGUUGAGCAUAAUGUGUUUAUUUGUGUUUUUUUUUUAAUAUCUGCUUUUUUUUAUUAAAGUUAAUGGAAUGGUAUAUUAUUCAUACAUUUUUACUUCAAGCUAAGUUCUAAAUCUCGUUUUAAGUUGUGUUAAAUUAAAUUUAUAGUGUGUAUUGUUUAUGCUAUUUCACUAAUGAAGACAAUAAGCGAUAUAAGCUACUUUUUACCUUACAGUUUCAGUAGAACAAAAUGUAAACUAGGAAUGAAUAUUUGUUAUUUAAAUCGUGUGAUAUUUUGUUUUUAUACUGUCAGCUGUCAUACCUAAGCACAUGUAUCAAUUUAUAAGGAGGCAGACGCAGAAAUGUGUAAAGGUUAACCAUAGCCAAGGGUUAUCUCAUAUAUUAAAAAAAAAACUUGUCCAUUACUAUAAAAAAGUAUAUCUUCUGGUAGAAGUAGAUCAUUGGCUAUAUCUUUUAACUAUGGUGCAUUUUUAAGGCCGUGCAAUUUAAAAAAAAAAAGGUUUGAAAUCUAUGUAUUGAAACCAAUAACAAAUAAUGAGUCUGUUUAUUGUUUAUAAACAUUCCGUCCUACAGACACAACCUUUUAUCGAUAACAAAAAUCUUCAAAUAAGAAUCAUAGACAUAGGUCUAUGAAUGCUAUUUUUUAUAAGUUUGCUAGAAAGUUGCAACUUUGAGCUAAGUGAAAAGCAAUAAAAAGAAUAUGAUUUUUAAAAAUUACACAAUUGUAUUUUUAAUAGUGUAGUUGAACUGAUAGAAUAGAGUUAACUAUUUUUUCAUUGCUUACUUUUAUUUUAUUGCUAGUCAUUUAAAAACAAACUAAAAUGAUGUUUAUAAUUGUAUUUGCAUUUCAUAUUUUAAUUUUUAAAAGAAAAAAAAGAUCGCUUAUUGUAGCUAUAUACAAUGAUCUUAUCACUGUAUUUAAUUUUUUCUAAUGUUUUGUAUGACUCCUGUAAAAAUGUUCAUUUUAAAUUUAAAAUGUGUAUCAAUCAUUUAAUUAUUGUUAUAUGGGUGUUCGCAUAUUAUAUCUUUUAUGCUUUGUUGUCUGAAACUGUGUCUGGAAUUUUCAUGUAUGCUUACCAUUAGAUAUAUUAAUUGACCCCCACACACGUAUAAAGACCACCAGACACAUAUACAGACCAGUACCCACAUGUACAAAUCACACACAUUCAGAUACCAGCACACACAUAUACAGUUCACCACACAUACACAUACAGGCCACACACAUUCACAGACCAUCACACACAUACACAUACCACCACACAUACACAUACAGGCCACACACAUUCAGAUACCAGCACACACAUACACAUACCACCAUACCCAUGUUGCACAGACUACCACACACAAAUACAGUUCAACACCCACAUAUAUAGCUCACUACACACAUGUACAGACCACUUAUACAUAACUUAUACACAGACCACCACACACAUCUACAUACCACAUGACAUACACAGACCACCACACACAUCUACAUACCACCUUACAUAUACACAGACCACCGCACACAUUUACAUACCACCUGAUAUAUACACAGACAACCGCACACAUUUACAGACCACCUUACAUAUACACAGACCACCACACACAUGUACAGACCACCUUACAUAUACACAGACCACCACGCACAUUUGCAUACCACCUUACAUAUACACAGACCACCACACACAUCUACAUACCACCUUACAUAUACACACCACCUUACAUAUACACGUACCACAACACACAUGUACAGAACACCACACUCAAGUACACGCUAAUAAUUUAAAAAAACCACAUAUUAGCAUAUCACACAUAUCCAUCUAACGAACACCUUGCUUAUCGCAUUGUGUUUAGUGGCUUAACAAAAUUCCCAUUACACGUUACGACACCAUUUUAGCCUCAGUUGUCUACAGUACGCAACAUUGCUGAGCUUAUCGCUGGUUGUGGUACACUUGCUACCCCUGUACUUGUAUCUGUUCAACAUGACUGUACCUUGGGACACUCUAUGUAAAUGUAAUACAGUUGGCAUUUAGAUUUUAGGGAUAGCUCAUGCACUGUAUGAUAACGUGGAUAGUGGGAAUAUGUGUAGUGGUGUGUGUGUGACUAUGACCUAUGUGGGGUGGGGAGUGGGUGGAAGUAUUAAAUAGAAUUACACAUUUAUAUUUCAUUAAAAAAAAAAAACAAAUUCUCUAAAAAUGUGGUUAUAACCAUAAGGACAAUAAUUAGGUAAGGGGAGUUAAUUUUUUGGACACAUAUUUGAAGUAACUGGUCCUGUAUUGUGUAGGCAAGAUGAUGAUGUGUGAGAUUAGCCUGACGUCACAAGCAUGUUAAUCCAUUCUUUAACCAGUAAUUACACACAAAUCCCAACAUGCUGAACCUGAUACUUUAUAAAACAAUAAUUGUUCAAACUUAUGCUUUCAUGUGUUUGUCUACACCUUUCGUUUUUUUUUUUGACAAUUUUACGUAAAUGUCCAAACUUAAUUUUUAUUUUACAAAGAUCUGGGUUUAUGAAAGUUGUUUAUACAUACCACUGUAAUGUGUUAUUAUGCAUUUAAAUAAUGUCGAAUUGCCUUAUUUUAAAAAAAAAAGUUUUUAAAUUUAAUA
Physella acuta is the source of this 3614-nucleotide long non-coding RNA. RefSeq lists it as uncharacterized. The record is from RefSeq and is a predicted model, not a curated record. Lineage: Eukaryota; Metazoa; Mollusca; Gastropoda; Physidae.